UACGGAAGGCAGCAGUGGGGAAUAUUGCACAAUGGGCGAAAGCCUGAUGCAGCUAUGCCGCGUGUAUGAAGAAGGCCUUAGGGUUGUAAAGUACUUUCAUCGGGGAGGAAAAAACAAAACUAAUAAUUUUAUUUCUUGACGUUACCCGAAAAAGAAGCACCGGCUAACUCCGUGCCAGCAGCCGCGGUAAUACGGAGGGUGCUAGCGUUAAUCAGAAUUACUGGGCGUAAAGAGCACGUAGGUGGUUUUUUAAGUCAGAUGUGAAAUCCCUGGGCUUAACCUAGGAACUGCAUUUUGAAACUGAAAUACUAGAGUAUCGUAGAGGGAGGUAGAAUUCUAGGUGUAGCGGUGAAAUGCGUAGAUAUCUGGGGGAAUACCUGUGGCGAAAGCGGCCUCCUAAACGAAUACUGACACUGAGGGUGCGAAAGCGUGGGGAGCAAACAGGGAUUAGAUACC
RNAcentral lists this ribosomal RNA (456 nucleotides) under uncultured bacterium. Its description in RNAcentral is "bacterial SSU rRNA". It matches the Rfam family "Bacterial small subunit ribosomal RNA", at positions 340 to 786 of the family's 1533-position model. The record is from RNAcentral.